ACGAACGCUGGCGGCGUGCUUAACACAUGCAAGUCGAGCGGAAAGGCCCUUUGGGGUACUCGAGCGGCGAACGGGUGAGUAACACGUGAGUAAUCUGCCCUGCACUCUGGGAUAGCCACCGGAAACGGUGAUUAAUACCGGAUAUGACAUAUCGACGCAUGUUGGUGUGUGGAAAGUUUUUUCGGUGUGGGAUGUGCUCGCGGCCUAUCAGCUUGUUGGUGGGGUAAUGGCCUACCAAGGCUUCGACGGGUAGCCGGCCUGAGAGGGUGACCGGUCACACUGGGACUGAGACACGGCCCAGACUCCUACGGGAGGCAGCAGUGGGGAAUAUUGGACAAUGGGCGGAAGCCUGAUCCAGCAACGCCGCGUGAGGGAUGACGGCCUUCGGGUUGUAAACCUCUUUUAGUAGGGAAGAAGCGUAAGUGACGGUACCUGCAGAAAAAGCACCGGCUAACUACGUGCCAGCCGCCGCCGUAAAAC
RNAcentral lists this ribosomal RNA (480 nucleotides) under uncultured bacterium. Its description in RNAcentral is "bacterial SSU rRNA". It matches the Rfam family "Bacterial small subunit ribosomal RNA", at positions 29 to 526 of the family's 1533-position model. The record is from RNAcentral.